Molecule: non-coding RNA, 1190 nt
Organism: Betta splendens (Siamese fighting fish)
Lineage: Eukaryota; Metazoa; Chordata; Actinopteri; Anabantiformes; Osphronemidae
Source: the annotation of a RefSeq genome assembly
UAAUAUAUGCUAUAUUUAUCACAUAUUAGGAUAAUAUUAUUAUUAUCAUCUUCAUUAUUAAAGUACAGGAUAAGGUUCUGUGGACUCAUGGGUCUAUUACUGAACGUCUGUAACAUCUGCAACAUCUGGAGCAAAGACAAAAAAAAUCUAAGGUCAAAUGUUGGCUGAUGUUGCAAAGGUGUUUGUUGUUUCGGGGCGAAAUGCUGUAAAUGAGGGAAACUCAGAUCCUGAAGGAGAAUGUUACUGUAGCUCAUCAACAAAAUGAGAACAGACAUCACAGUACAAAGCAAAACGACUGAGUCUGGACACAAACUAUCAACGAGUGUAAAGUUCAGGGAGUAAUUAUUUUAUCACUUCAGGGACUUUAGUAUUAAGCUUUUGUGUUGAAUCUAUUUUGUGUUGCCUUUGUUUUGAUGUUAGAUUCAGUUUGAAGACACUCGGACACAAAAAGCAGAAAUGAGGAGGGGUCCAGUGUUUCUCACAGCAACGUACGAGGCUCCUCCUACUGACUGCACAUGUGGCUGCUUCACAGCUGGAUUGCAGCUGUGAUCAUCAGACCCACAACAACAGUGUGUCACCUCUGAACAUGGACACACUCGCUGCACUUCUGUUCGUUUCAGCUCUCGUAGGUAACAGCCUCGAAGAUGAUAUUACUGCCAUCAGAACUGAAGUGUUUUCAUCAGAGGGUCGUAGCGUUACUCUCUCCUGUAAAUACUCCGUUAAAGCUAAUAAUCUCCAGUGGUACCGACAGGAUGCUGGAUCAGCUCCUCAGUAUCUACUCCUGAUCACUGAUACGAAACAGCCUGAAGUGAUUCAAGCAAAGCCCUCAAACCCUCGACUGACUGCUAAACUGAACGACCAGAGAAAUCAAGUGGAUCUGGAGAUCUCCUCUGCUGCAGUGUCUGACUCUGCUGUGUACUACUGUGCUCUGCAGCCCACAGUGACAGGAAACACCUCAACUCUGUACAAAAACCUCUGGAGCAAAGACAACACAAUGCUCCACAGCAUCCACCAGAGGGAGACACUGUCAUAAACUGAUGGUUUGGGAUUAAACACUCUAGAAUCAACAGAAGUGAAAACACAGACUUGAGAGGAGACAGAUUCAGGGAGGAGCUGAGCUGUGACUGAAUGUAGAAGAGAGACAAACGUCUCCAUUCAACAGUUCAGUAGAGACCGAAUCAUUACAUUUA